Molecule: ribosomal RNA, 1346 nt
Filed under: uncultured bacterium
Lineage: Bacteria
Description: partial 16S ribosomal RNA
Rfam family: Bacterial small subunit ribosomal RNA
Source: RNAcentral
GACGAACGCUGGUUGCGUGCUUAACACAUGCAAGUCGAACGGAAAGGCCCUGCUUUUGUGGGGUGCUCGAGUGGCGAACGGGUGGGUAACACGUGAGUAACCUGCCCUUGACUUUGGGAUAACUUCAGGAAACUGGGGCUAAUACCGGAUAGGAGCUCCUGCUGCAUGGUGGGGGUUGGAAAGUUUCGGCGGUUGGGGAUGGACUCGCGGCUUAUCAGCUUGUUGGUGGGGUAGUGGCUUACCAAGGCUUUGACGGGUAGCCGGCCUGAGAGGGUGACCGGCCACAUUGGGACUGAGAUACGGCCCAGACUCCUACGGGAGGCAGCAGUGGGGAAUAUUGCACAAUGGGCGGAAGCCUGAUGCAGCAACGCCGCGUGCGGGAUGACGGCCUUCGGGUUGUAACCCGCUUUCGCCUGUGACGAAGCGUGAGUGACGGUAAUGGGUAAAGAAGCACCGGCUAACUACGUGCCAGCAGCCGCGGUGAUACGUAGGGUGCGAGCGUUGUCCGGAUUUAUUGGGCGUAAAGGGCUCGUAGGUGGUUGAUCGCGUCGGAAGUGUAAUCUUGGGGCUUAACCCUGAGCGUGCUUUCGAUACGGGUUGACUUGAGGAAGGUAGGGGAGAAUGGAAUUCCUGGUGGAGCGGUGGAAUGCGCAGAUAUCAGGAGGAACACCAGUGGCGAAGGCGGUUCUCUGGGCCUUUCCUGACGCUGAGGAGCGAAAGCGUGGGGAGCGAACAGGCUUAGGUACCCUGGUAGUCCACGCUGUAAACGGUGGGUACUAGGUGUGGGGUCCAUUCCACGGGUUCCGUGCCGUAGCUAACGCUUUAAGUACCCCGCCUGGGGAGUACGGCCGCAAGGCUAAAACUCAAAGGAAUUGACGGGGCCCCGCACAAGCGGCGGAGCAUGCGGAUUAAUUCGAUGCAACGCGUAGAACCUUACCUGGGUUUGACAUGGAUCGGGAGUGCUCAGAGAUGGGUGUGCCUCUUUUGGGGUCGGUUCACAGGUGGUGCAUGGCUGUCGUCAGCUCGUGUCGUGAGAUGUUGGGUUAAGUCCCGCAACGAGCGCAACCCUUGUUCACUGUUGCCAGCACGUUAUGGUGGGGACUCAGUGGAGACCGCCGGGGUCAACUCGGAGGAAGGUGGGGAUGACGUCAAGUCAUCAUGCCCCUUAUGUCCAGGGCUUCACGCAUGCUACAAUGGCUGGUACAGAGAGUGGCGAGCCUGUGAGGGUGAGCGAAUCUCGGAAAGCCGGUCUCAGUUCGGAUUGGGGUCUGCAACUCGACCUCAUGAAGUCGGAGUCGCUAGUAAUCGCAGAUCAGCAACGCUGCGGUGAAUACGUUCCCGGGGCU